Ictidomys tridecemlineatus (thirteen-lined ground squirrel) is the source of this 920-nucleotide non-coding RNA. Lineage: Eukaryota; Metazoa; Chordata; Mammalia; Rodentia; Sciuridae. The record is from RefSeq and is a predicted model, not a curated record.
UGUAAGCAGCAGGACUCACUGAACCAGCCUCACUGUCAGCGGCCAGUGUUAUCAGCACAAAUCUCAGCGUGGCAGGGCUGACUGCACUGGGACCACUCUGGAGCCCUGUUACACUAGUUGUACCUGGCAGGCCGUGUUGGCUCUGUGCAAAGAUAAAACAAAAAGUCCCUGGGCAACCUCAGGCUAUCUGUCUCGGCUGCACAUGCUGCCGGCUGCAACUUUGUAGUUUAUGUAAAAAUAGUUGUUUUCUGAAAUGAAAUGAAAGCAAGUGGAAGGGUAGCAAGCAGAGACCGCAGCUGAGAAUGAAUGUGAAACACAGAAGCCUGAGCUGAGAAUUCUGUUGGGAUUCUACAAGAGCAGAAAUCAAGACAGGAAGAUGAAGUGUCUCUAAGCCAGAAAGAGAAUAUGAAUUCACAGUAGAAUUAUGAGAGCAACCUUAAUAUGAUUGGUGAUUAAUGUAUACACAAGAGAAAUAUCUGUAACAGUAUCUCAAGCAGAAAGAGAUCUGCUAACCAUCUGCAAGAACUAAGAUGAAUUUUCAUCAGCUUCCAUUCAUUCACCUCCAGUGUGGCCUCAAGGAUCUUUCCCAAGUUAUUGGUGUUUAGGACAAGUGUCAAGCUCUGGUUGUUCCAAGAUGUGAUUGAAGAAAAUAUUGUGUUACCAUGACUCCUCAGCUGUGAAGUUCUUUAUUUUAUCUUAUGUACUCUAUUCUCACCUGAGCCCAGUGCAUUCUCAAAGUGCCAUUAGCAAUGAGAUUUUAAUGAGUGCCAUAAGGAAGAGAGCACUGCAGUCUUUAUGGAAGUUCAGAAUUCAUGAUGAUUAUGGAAAAGCACAACACAAGAUUUUUUUUUUCCAACAAUGAAAGGCAAGAAAGGAAAAAAAAAAGAAUGAAUAAAAUGUUUGGAUUUUCCGAUGUUAAA